RNAcentral lists this ribosomal RNA (734 nucleotides) under Salmonella enterica subsp. enterica serovar Typhimurium. RNAcentral describes it as "partial 23S ribosomal RNA". It matches the Rfam family "Bacterial large subunit ribosomal RNA", at positions 1182 to 1874 of the family's 2925-position model. Lineage: Bacteria; Pseudomonadati; Pseudomonadota; Gammaproteobacteria; Enterobacterales; Enterobacteriaceae. The record is from RNAcentral.
ACGAUUGACGGAGCGAAGCGACGUCAAAGCGUUCAUUAAAGUCGAGUUGGCUUAGGGAUACGUUCGUUGGGUAGGGGAGCGUUCUGUAAGCCUGUGAAGGUGUGUCGUGAGGCAUGCUGGAGGUAUCAGAAGUGCGAAUGCUGACAUAAGUAACGAUAAAGCGGGUGAAAAGCCCGCUCGCCGGAAGACCAAGGGUUCCUGUCCAACGUUAAUCGGGGCAGGGUGAGUCGACCCCUAAGGCGAGGCCGAAAGGCGUAGUCGAUGGGAAACGGGUUAAUAUUCCCGUACUUGGUGUUACUGCGAAGGGGGGACGGAGAAGGCUAUGUUGGCCGGGCGACGGUUGUCCCGGUUUAAGCGUGUAGGUGUGUGUUCCAGGUAAAUCCGGUUCACUUUAACACUGAGGCGUGACGACGAGGCACUACGGUGCUGAAGCAACAAAUGCCCUGCUUCCAGGAAAAGCCUCUAAGCAUCAGGUAACAUCAAAUCGUACCCCAAACCGACACAGGUGGUCAGGUAGAGAAUACCAAGGCGCUUGAGAGAACUCGGGUGAAGGAACUAGGCAAAAUGGUGCCGUAACUUCGGGAGAAGGCACGCUGACACGUAGGUGAAGUGAUUUACUCAUGGAGCUGAAGUCAGUCGAAGAUACCAGCUGGCUGCAACUGUUUAUUAAAAACACAGCACUGUGCAAACACGAAAGUGGACGUAUACGGUGUGACGCCUGCCCGGUGCCGGAA